UACAGGGGGUGCAAACGUUGCUCGGAAUCAUUGGGCGUAAAGCGCACGUAGGCGGUUCGUUAUGUCGGAUGUGAAAGCCCUUGGCUUAACCGAGGAAGUGCAUCCGAAACUGGCGAGCUAGAGUACUAAAGAGGAUCGCGGAAUUCCCGGUGUAGAGGUGAAAUUCGUAGAUAUCAGGAGGAACACCGGUGGCGAAGGCGGGUCUCUGGGCCGAAACUGGACGCU
This 225-nucleotide ribosomal RNA is filed under the name uncultured bacterium. Its description in RNAcentral is "partial 16S ribosomal RNA". It matches the Rfam family "Bacterial small subunit ribosomal RNA", at positions 524 to 747 of the family's 1533-position model. The record is from RNAcentral.